CGGGGCUGCAAUCUGUUCCUUCUCCACCCCUCCCCCGCUUAAAUUCUUCUCUGGGGAAUUACCAUUCCUUUUCAAUCUGAUGGUUUAAUCUCUCACUGCUCUCUGCCUGUGUGUCCCCCUCAUUUCCCUUUCCAGAGCUACUGCGCUCACUUUUCCCUCUCCUUGUUGCCAGGAUGAGGCGCUUCCAUGGCACUGUGCUCAGAGAGGCUUUUGGACACCUCGGGCCCACCGCAGCGGGAGGAGAAGAGAGAGCCUACCAAUGCAUGGCAGGUGCAAAUGCUGCCACAAGGCUGAACACCUCCUUCCCUUCCAAGGUGCUCUGUGAAGCUGGCAGCCCGUGGCUUGGACAGCUGCAUUGGGAUGGAAUUGAUACAGAGGCCUGGAUUUUUGCAACAUUCUCCCUCAUGCAGGACACCUCUGGGAAACCACCCGCGCUGCAGGGAGGAUCCUGCCAGCACCACUGGCAAUGCCAGGGCAGCCAUCUGCUGCAGGUGACCGUCCUCCUCUGCCACUCCUCCCAGGUGAGCACUGCUCUCCUUAUUCUCUUUGUCCUCUGUGAAGGGCUGGGGGUGUUUUGGUCAGUAUGGCUUCAAGGCACCAAGGAGAGGUGCUGACCUCAGUUCUUCCAUGUUCAGGAUGGUGAACCUUGGUGCUGGCCGUAGGGGCCCCACAUCACAGUGCCACUUGUGGCUAUGGCCCUGUCCUGCAGUGGAAGGUCCUUUCCUGUCUCCGUGUGUAAGCUACAUUCAUGCCGAAUCACAGUGGCAUUCCUUCCUUUGGGCAGCAGGCACUCAGAGCCUUGUUGGGCUGUCCUGACUCAGUGCUCAGGGCUGUGCGCAAAGGAAAUGUUCUCCUGAGGUUCCUUGCUGUGCUCAGAUUUGCUCCUGAAGCAGGAGAUGUAGUGAUCUCAACUUCAACACGGAUAAUUACAAUUGUAGUUCCUGCCCCUUCAGUGAUGCAGGUCUGUAUUCAACCUGACUGGGGUCUGUAACCUCUGCUAGCUGCAAGUGCUCUCAGCCACUGGGCCUGCGUGUUGUGUGAAGUGCUGUUUGUUUUUCCUUCUAUUCUUGCUAAUGUUACCUGCUGUGGAUGAUGCAAUCAGGCUGACAACCUGCUGUGGAUGAUGCAAUCAGGCUGACAACCUACUGUGGAUGAUGCAAUCAGGUUGACAAGCAGAGAUCAUGGAGAGGUUCUAAGUCCAGGAUGGAAUAAGGAGGGAAAACCUAAAACUACAACAAAAUCAAAUAGUGCACCCUAAAAACAGGGUUUCUGUGGCAGAAACUUGUUUGGAUGUGGAGCUCAGUCAGGGGAUAUGUGCAAGGGAGCACCACAGAUGGGCUAUGCAUGCUGGAGCCUCCAUGCUGGGGAACAUCCACUUGGCACCUUUCUCUGGGCUGUAGCCCUCUGUACUUCAGCCAUCUCAGCCCACAGUUCUGCUGAGUCCAAGGGCUUCAGGGAAACGAGGAGGAGUGAGUCUCUGGGGUUGGUUUGACAAGGGAUGGCAAGAAGCAACACCAAAGAUAAGUACAAGUAUAUCUGGGCAGGAAGACAUGAAGCUGAGCUGCUGCAGGUGCCCAUAGUGGCAGAUGAUGUGACUGUGGAUGAUGGGUGGCUUGGGAGGUUCAGGGUAGACACUGGGAGAGGAUUCUUCCAGGAAGGUGGUGCAGCACUGCACCUGGGACAGUCAGGGACUCCCCAUCCUUGAGGGUUUUUAAAAUUGAGCUAGAGAAAUCCAUGGCUGAUCUGAGUUAGCACUGGUAACAGCCCUGCUUCUCAUGGGGCACAGGACCAGCGGUGUCCGGAGAUCUGUUCCAGCUGACACUUCUGUCACUGUACUUACAUUAAAACUAAAUAAACAUGGUCUGAUGUUGACUUAACCUUCCCAGCGAGCAUGUUGAUCUGCUUUUAUUGACAUGCUUCUUCCUAGAAUCUGAUCCUCACUAAAAAUGAGUGAAAAUGGGGGGUGUCCUAUGUGUUACCUGGAGAGGCACACGAGUGGGGUUUUUGGUUCCAUCCCUCAGGCUGUGGGACAGCUGGCACAGGCAGCACACUCGCUCCUAUGAUGACACAGUGACACAAUACCACCCUUUACCAAGCUCUGUAGAUGCAAUUACUGGGAUAUGGUUUUCCAGAGAACGACCUCUCCUUGCAGUCAUGGUCUUGAAUGGCCCUUCAGCACGUGCUUCUGGUGUGCUUUUGCACUUCAGCAGCUGCUUUAGCAGGCUAUGGUUAGUGAAUGCUCAGGGAGUCUGGCGCCAGAUGUUCAUUCCCUAAACCGUGAGAUGUAAUAACACAUUUCUGCCUCAUUGCAGUCACAAAGCAGGACCUCUGUGUGCACAGCCUGGGGGACUCCUUCCCGACCUGGGGUUAAAGCUCUGCCAGAGCUGCUUCCUGCCGUUAUCCUGUCCCUUCUGGUAACCACCACCCUUAACAAACCCUCUCCCACCCCUCGCUCCCUGUUACCUGGGAUGGACAGUCAGAAACCAAAGAUGUGCAUUCCUGUAUUGUUUCAUGGUGGAUGAGGUGGUGUUUCUGGUUGGAGAAACCCUUCUUUAUGCUCCAUCCCUCCAUCAGAGGCACAGGGAAUGGUGAGCAAUUAAUCUGAAACUCUGUGCAGUAAAACGCAAAUCUCCAUAGCUUGAGAAAUUCUGGAUGAAAGCCAGAAAAGUUUAACAAGGAAAUGUGUUCCCUCCAGCGUAAUUGUGCGUUUGGCUUCUAUUUUAGUAAACGAGCAACAGCUGAACAGAGGCCAAAAGGAGAGUCCCCCCCCAUCCUGAGCUAAGAAAACAAUUUCAAAUAGGACAAACUGUCUUGUUCCAGGGAGGAGGUCUGAUCUGGAGAGUGAAAACAGCUUGCUACUUGGAGUGCAGUCCGCAGAAGAACAAAGCUCUAAGGACCGUUCCCUACGCUGUGCCCCACAAGAGAGGUUAUUGAGCCAAGACGGCCUCACA
Long non-coding RNA from Gallus gallus (chicken), 2951 nucleotides. The record is from Ensembl. Lineage: Eukaryota; Metazoa; Chordata; Aves; Galliformes; Phasianidae.